Molecule: ribosomal RNA, 468 nt
Filed under: uncultured bacterium
Lineage: Bacteria
Description: partial 16S ribosomal RNA
Rfam family: Bacterial small subunit ribosomal RNA
Source: RNAcentral
GACGAACGCUGGCGGCGUGCUUAACACAUGCAAGUCGAACGGAAAGGCCCUGCUUUUGUGGGGUGCUCGAGUGGCGAACGGGUGAGUAACACGUGAGUAACCUGCCCUUGACUUUGGGAUAACUUCAGGAAACUGGGGCUAAUACCGGAUAGGAGCUCCUGCUGCAUGGUGGGGGUUGGAAAGUUUCGGCGGUUGGGGAUGGACUCGCGGCUUAUCAGCUUGUUGGUGGGGUAGUGGCUUACCAAGGCUUUGACGGGUAGCCGGCCUGAGAGGGUGGCCGGCCACAUUGAGCCUGAGAUACGGCCCAGACUCCUACGGGAGGCAGCAGUGGGGAAUAUUGCACAAUGGGCGGAAGCCUGAUGCAGCAACGCCGCGUGCGGGAUGACGGCCUUCGGGUUGUAAACCGCUUUCGCCUGUGACGAAGCGUGAGUGACGGUAAUGGGUAAAGAAGCACCGGCUAACUACGUG